AACGCUGGCGGCGUGCUUAACACAUGCAAGUCGAACGAGGAUAUGCCAGAGGAGAGCUUCGGCAGGAAUCAGGUAUAUUCGAGUGGCGGACGGGUGAGUAACGCGUGAGCAACCUGUCCCAGACAGGGGGAUAACACUUGGAAACAGGUGCUAAUACCGCAUAAGACCACGGUAUCACAUGGUAGUGGGGUAAAAGGAGCAAUCCGGUUUGGGGUGGGCUCGCGUCCGAUUAGAUAGUUGGUGAGGUAACGGCCCACCAAGUCGACGAUCGGUAGCCGACCUGAGAGGGUGAUCGGCCACAUUGGAACUGAGAGACGGUCCAAACUCCUACGGGAGGCAGCAGUGGGGAAUAUUGGGCAAUGGGCGAAAGCCUGAACCCCAGCAACGCCGCGUGAGUGAAGAAGGCCUUCGGGUUGUAAAGCUCUGUUAUAGUUGACGAAGGAAGUGACGGUAGGCUAUAAGGAAGCCCCGGCUAACUACGUGCCAGCAGCAGC
Molecule: ribosomal RNA, 494 nt
Filed under: uncultured bacterium
Lineage: Bacteria
Description: bacterial SSU rRNA
Rfam family: Bacterial small subunit ribosomal RNA
Source: RNAcentral